UCAGUCGGAUCGCAGGCUGCAACCCGCCUGCGUGAAGUCGGAAUCGCUAGUAAUCGCGGAUCAGCAUGCCGCGGUGAAUACGUUCCCGGGCCUUGUACACACCGCCCGUCACACCAUGAGAGUCGGGAACACCCGAAGCCCGUAGCCUAACUUGCAAGAGAGGGCGCGGUCGAAGGUGGGUUCGAUAAUUGGGGUGAAGUCGUAACAAGGUAAC
Molecule: ribosomal RNA, 214 nt
Filed under: uncultured bacterium
Lineage: Bacteria
Description: partial 16S ribosomal RNA
Rfam family: Bacterial small subunit ribosomal RNA
Source: RNAcentral